GAUGUACGCUGGCGGCGUGCCUAAUACAUGCAAGUCGAGCGAACAGACGAGGAGCUUGCUCCUCUGACGUUAGCGGCGGACGGGUGAGUAACACGUGGAUAACCUACCUAUAAGACUGGGAUAACUUCGGGAAACCGGAGCUAAUACCGGAUAAUAUAUUGAACCGCAUGGUUCAAUAGUAAAAGACGGUUUUGCUGUCACUUAUAGAUGGAUCCGCGCCGCAUUAGCUAGUUGGUAAGGUAACGGCUUACCAAGGCAACGAUGCGUAGCCGACCUGAGAGGGUGAUCGGCCACACUGGAACUGAGACACGGUCCAGACUCCUACGGGAGGCAGCAGUAGGGAAUCUUCCGCAAUGGGCGAAAGCCUGACGGAGCAACGCCGCGUGAGUGAUGAAGGUCUUCGGAUCGUAAAACUCUGUUAUUAGGGAACAACAAAUGUGUAAGUAACUAUGCACGUCUUGACGGUACCUAAUCAGAAAGCCACGGCUAACUACGUG
RNAcentral lists this ribosomal RNA (497 nucleotides) under uncultured bacterium. RNAcentral's name for it is "partial 16S ribosomal RNA". It matches the Rfam family "Bacterial small subunit ribosomal RNA", at positions 28 to 507 of the family's 1533-position model. The record is from RNAcentral.